CGUAGGGUGCGAGCGUUAAUCGGAAUUACUGGGCGUAAAGCGUGCGCAGGCGGUUUGUUAAGAUAGGCGUGAAAUCCCCGGGCUCAACCUGGGAACUGCGCUUAUGACUGGCAAGCUAGAGUACGGCAGAGGGGGUGGAAUUCCACGUGUAGCAGUGAAAUGCGUAGAGAUGUGGAGGAACACCAAUGGCGAAGGCAGCCCCCUGGGUCGAUACUGGCGCUCAUGCACGAAAGCGUGGGUAGCAAACAGGAUUAGAUACCCUGGUAGUCCACGCCCUAAACGAUGUCAACUAGGUGUUGGGAGGGUAAAACCUUUUAGUACCGGAGCUAACGCGUGAAGUUGACCGCCUGGGGAGUACGGCCGCAAGGUUA
This 371-nucleotide ribosomal RNA is filed under the name uncultured organism. RNAcentral's name for it is "bacterial SSU rRNA". It matches the Rfam family "Bacterial small subunit ribosomal RNA", at positions 526 to 896 of the family's 1533-position model. The record is from RNAcentral.